This 400-nucleotide ribosomal RNA is filed under the name phytoplankton environmental sample. RNAcentral's name for it is "partial small subunit ribosomal RNA". It matches the Rfam family "Eukaryotic small subunit ribosomal RNA", at positions 587 to 971 of the family's 1831-position model. The record is from RNAcentral.
AGCUCCAAUAGCGUAUAUUAAAGUUGUUGCGGUUAAAAAGCUCGUAGUUGGAUCUCGGCGGCCAGGGGGCGGUUCGGCGCAUCGUUCGCCGCGACUGCCCCAUUUGGCCGUGUUGGUGCGGCGGAGGCCGCGGGGUGCCCUUCGUUGGGUGUCCCGUCACUUAGGCGCCGUCGGGUUUACUUUGAAAAAAUUAGAGUGCUCAAAGCAGGCCGCUCGCGCGCCUGGAUACUUCGUGCAUGGAAUAAUGGAAUAGGAGCUCGUUUCUAUUUUGUUGGUUUUCGGAAUUCGAGCUAAUGAUUAGCAGGGACAAUUGGGGGCAUUAGUAUUCAGGCGACAGAGGUGAAAUUCUUGGACCGUCUGAAGACUGACGACUGCGAAAGCAUUUGCCAAGAGUGUUUUC